Molecule: non-coding RNA, 1236 nt
Organism: Lolium perenne
Lineage: Eukaryota; Viridiplantae; Streptophyta; Magnoliopsida; Poales; Poaceae
Source: RefSeq, a predicted model, not a curated record
GUAUCACAUGAGACAUAUCUCCAUUUCAUAGAUCUUCUUGCUGAAACUAUUAGGUGACUGAAUUUACAGACAAGAAGCCGCGGGGCAGCGCGGACAAGAAUCAGCAGGGGCGGCGGUGCUCCGCCUAGAGGAGUUACAUGGGAGAGGAAGGAGGCCGGUGACAGGAGGGAAGAGCAGGUGGCCUUGGUUCAUCAUGGAGAACGCAUGAUGCCCAUCCGGAUCCCCUCUACCUUCUUCUUUGAUGAGGAGCUCAUCUUGCCUGGUUGGCUGGUUCACUUGUCUUCUCCUUUCCUGUUGCGUCCCUUGCCGCCUCACUCCCCUUCAUCCCCAAGAACUAGUGGUUGGACACAGAUCAGUCAUAGCAAGCAGAAGCAUGGCUGCAAUUGUCCAUGAAGCACUCCAGCUCCUAUCACCUUGUUGAAGUGCUUGCACAAGAUCUGGACAUGCUCUCAUAUUGCCCCAGGUUAUACUGAUGGGUCAUCCAGGUGUAGAUUAUGAUGUUGAGCUAUGACUUGUAAUGUUUGGGUUUGGGAGGCGGUAGAUUAUUCCGCUAGCUGCGACAACACCCAACAUUGGUGCACGGAGAUUCAGUGGUUCUUUCCGCCGUAUUAUUUAUGCCUAUGUCGAUGCUAUCAUCGUAUUGGCAUGCUUUACUCUACCAACGCCUUCGUCCAAAGGUGGAUACCUCCUCCUUUUUACUAAUAACUUAGUGUUUGUGUUUUUUGAAUACGGAUUGCAUUAGUUGUUCCUAUUUUCAAAGCUAAUUGAGUGGCAUGGCUGUAGUUUGGUGGUACUUUUUAUGGAAACCUCAAUUAUGUACUCAUAAGCAUAGAGUUGAGGUGAUAUUAGUUACCAGAUCGUCAAAUAGUUGAUUUUACCAUCAGGAUUCAUCUUUGCUCGGUUUUGCAUAAUGGAAUAACUAUUUUUCUGAAUAUGAGAAUUGGCUUAUUUGAUCUAUAUGUAAUUAACAAGUAUGUAGUGUUCAACAUGGUCACAGAAUUAAAAUGAAGCUCUUCUGAUGUAGUACUCAAAAUAAAUACAUGCACUAAGCUCAUUAAGGUAUCACAGGGGAGAACAACCUAUGUUUUCUGAAAUUAGUUGCAUGGCAUUCUAUUGUUUAAUCGCCUGUAGUAGCUUCAUCUUCGCCCACGACUCCCUCGGUGGCUGGCCUGCUCCCCGGUGACGCCUCCUCUUUCGUCACCCAAAAUAGAUAUGCCGGGGAACCUGCUGUGAAAC